This 22-nucleotide small RNA is filed under the name Vibrio cholerae O1 biovar El Tor str. N16961. The record is from RNAcentral. Lineage: Bacteria; Pseudomonadati; Pseudomonadota; Gammaproteobacteria; Vibrionales; Vibrionaceae.
UCUAGAGCCUUGAUGAUGUUAC